Molecule: ribosomal RNA, 394 nt
Filed under: uncultured bacterium
Lineage: Bacteria
Description: partial 16S ribosomal RNA
Rfam family: Bacterial small subunit ribosomal RNA
Source: RNAcentral
AUACGUAGGGGGCGAGCGUUAUCCGGAAUUAUUGGGCGUAAAGAGUACGUAGGUGGUUGCGUAAGCGCAAGGUGAAAGACCGGGGCUUAACUUCGGUGAGCCUUGUGAACUGCGUGACUUGAGUGCAGGAGGGGAAAGUGGAAUUCCUAGUGUAGCGGUGAAAUGCGUAGAUUGUAGGAGGAACACCAGUGGCGAAGGCGACUUUCUGGACUGGAACUGACACUGAGGUACGAAAGCGUGGGGAGCAAACAGGAUUAGAGCCCCUGGUAGUCCACGCCGUAAACGAUGAGCACUAGGUGUUGGCGUAGAAAUACGUCGGUGCCGAAGUUAACGCAUUAAGUGCUCCGCCUGGGGAGUACGCACGCAAGUGUGAAACUCAAAUGAAUUGACGGGG